UUUUUUUGUUUUUGUUUUAUUGUAUAUUUAAUAUUGAUUAUUUUACUUUGUAGUGUGUAUUUUUUUUUUUAAUGUUUGAAAAUCUAACCUUUUAUGUAUGCAUCAUCUUUUUUGGUGUAUUUGAAGAUCUAACAUUUUUAUUUAUAUGUUAUUUUUUUUAGUCGAAAAAAUCUGAUCGGAAAAAUUGGACAAACAAGCAUGUUGCACUCAAAUAAUAAAGCGGCCAAA
RNAcentral lists this long non-coding RNA (228 nucleotides) under Capsicum annuum. RNAcentral describes it as "long non-coding RNA (CANN_LNC000864)". The record is from RNAcentral. Lineage: Eukaryota; Viridiplantae; Streptophyta; Magnoliopsida; Solanales; Solanaceae.